This is a transfer RNA of Sordaria macrospora k-hell, 89 nucleotides long. It matches the Rfam family "tRNA". From Rfam's summary of the family: Transfer RNA (tRNA) molecules are approximately 80 nucleotides in length. Lineage: Eukaryota; Fungi; Ascomycota; Sordariomycetes; Sordariales; Sordariaceae. The record is from Rfam.
GCGGGUUUAGCUCAGUUGGGAGAGCGUCAGACUGAAGUCCACUUCACUCAUAUAUCUGAAGGUCGUGUGUUCGAUCCACACAAACCGCA